This 200-nucleotide ribosomal RNA is filed under the name uncultured bacterium. RNAcentral describes it as "partial 16S ribosomal RNA". It matches the Rfam family "Bacterial small subunit ribosomal RNA", at positions 29 to 240 of the family's 1533-position model. The record is from RNAcentral.
AGUGAACGCUGGCGGCGUGCUUAACACAUGCAAGUCGAACGAGUAAGUGCUGUAGCAAUACAGAUUACUGCUAGUGGCAGACAGGUGAGUAAUACAUGGGAAUCUGCCUUGGAGUCUGGGAUAACAGUUGGAAACGACUGCUAAUACCGGAUAUUGCCGAGAGGUGAAAGAAUUUCGCUCCAAGAUGAGCCCAUGUGGGA